Molecule: long non-coding RNA, 2452 nt
Organism: Ruditapes philippinarum (Manila clam)
Lineage: Eukaryota; Metazoa; Mollusca; Bivalvia; Venerida; Veneridae
Exons: 3
Source: RefSeq, a predicted model, not a curated record
GCCCGUAAGUCUCGUUUACUUUCACUUUCGAUUUACCACUUCCGGGUACAUCGGCAGACUUAUUUACCGUUACGCAUAUAGGUAACCCGAAGAACUCGAGGGAUAUAGAAGUUAAAUUUGUUUCGGUCCUCUUCAGAUUUGAAGGAAUGGAUAGCACGGGAUAAAAAAUGCAGAUGUAUAGACAAGGAGGUAUAUGACAAGUAUAGAAUAUACAGUUGUUCAAUAUGGACCAUUAAUCAACUGUUUGCACUGCCUAUGAUCCUGAAAUAUCUAUACAUCAAAGAUAAAAAAGGAAAAGAUGAAGGAGGAUUUGUCCAAGAAGACCUUUAUUGCAACUACCAUCUUCCAGUUCCUUAAUUAAUUUGAGAAUGAUAUCAGAGAACACACAGUUACAGUGAAAUAUUAGUUUAAUAUAAGCCACUGAGAAUAGUCAAAUGUACUUUCCUGAAGAAGAUGAAUGACAUCCAGCACAAAAAUCUUAAUGUAUAAAGAGUAUGAUUUUAUGGUGUUUGACACUAUGAUCUUGUUAACAUGUUAAUGUCACAAUGAUAGAAACAGAGUAAAAUAUCCACAUUUCAUUGCAGUUUUAAAUAUCAAAACUAGAUACUCUAUAUAUACCAAAGCUGAUAACACACCAGAGAUAAGGUAUUUUCAUGGAAUCACAGUAUAGUCAUAUGACAUUAUGGACAUUAAAUGACUAUGAAGUAAAGAUUAGCAAAAAUAUUAUAUAUCAUCUACUACUAAUAUUGUGAGGUAAUCAUUGAUAAGCUCACAAAUUUGCAAUCAAAGCUUUGAUAUCAAGCUGACCAUUUUUCAAUUAGAAUAUGAUUUAUAACUCUAUGAUAAUUUGUUCAUGUUAAUUUUCAAAGUCUUUACAUUUGUAAAAGGAAAUAUUCUUAUUCUUGUAUCAGUAGACAUUUACAGUGUAAAGUUACAUUGUCCAAAUAACUAAUAAUAAUUCCAAGUGCUUUCCUGAAGUUUUUCUUCCACUUGAAAAUCAGUGUGAUAUAUAAGCUAAGCAGUGCACUAUAAAUUGUGUAAAAAUAAAAGUUUAUUAAACUUAUGAACUGUUUUUUUGUUUCUACUAUUUGGCAUAUAUUUAUAGCAGUGCUUGAUCAUAAGAGUUCAUCUGCAAAAUAAGUGUCACUGUGUACUUUAAUUCUCUAACAGCACUGGCUAGAUUGCUUGAAUAUGCAAGCAUUGACUAUAUUAAAUACUAUGCAUGUCAUUUGAAUUUUGUCUGUCCUGAAAUCGAAAGACACUAUCUAAAUAAUAUUGAUGAAAAGUUCUUGACAGCUCUUCAAUGACUACAUUUACACAUAUGUACAUGGACAGAAGUUAAAAGCAUUGUGUGGUGUUUUUUUGUUUGUUUUUUUUGAAACAUUGACAAUUUUGAAACAGUUCCAAUGGGUAUAUUAAUGUAUCAGUGAUGUAAUUGUUUUGUAUCAAGUGCAAACCCUAAGUUUUGCAUGUAUUGCAUAGACAAUUCACUUUUGGUCAAAUGUCAACAGGUUCAAUACAUUAUAAAACAGGUAAUUUGAAACCCAAAGAAGUAUAUGGUAUGUAAUAACUACCCCUCUGAUACUAAAAUCUUCAAGGAAUGCAGAAUUGCAAGUCUUCUCCAAUUAAGAGACUUGGGCAAGCUAGUGUUUUGCUACCGAAUACUCAACACAGAUGAAUUGCAUUAAUAUUGUUUACUCUGGUAUUACUACCUGCCAUGUACAAUGCAAAUCAUGGCUUUUCUAAGAGCAGUGAAAGGCUAUAACUGGAAGGAAUUUUACACAUCUUGCCUCAGAAACAAGUUUUUCUUUGAGAUGAUUUUUAUGAUAUUUAAAUAAUGGUUAAAGAUUACAUUUCUUUUACAAUUGCAGUGAUCAUGGUGAUAAUAUGAAAUGAAACUCAAUCAAGAUAGAAACAUUUUAAUGCUGAACAUUUAUCUUUUUACCAUUCCUGUUAAUUUACAAGUCUAUUUAUAACAAAUUUAUCUUAACUGUUUUGAAACUACAUGGUGCCUGGUUGAAACUGUUUUGGGCAGCCAUUUGCAGAAGAUAAAUUAUCUUUGAAUAAUUAAGUUAAUACAAAGUUACAAAUGACAGGUUAUUUAUUUCUAAUAAAGACAGGUUAUUUAUUUCUAAUAAAGACAGAUAUUUUGUUAAACAUUUUUACACUGAGAUCUAUCUUUGAAGUGUCUUCAACCUUAGUUUUUAUUAGAAUACAAACAUUCAGUCAGACAGUUUACACAAGACAUGGAGCUUUAAGAAGCUUUAAUUCAGUCAAAAUCAGUAAUGGACUGCCAUGUCUCUACCACUAUGUACUCCAAGACUGUGUAUGGACAUUUCCUUUCAACUAUGCCUGGUGGUAUCACUAUUUGAUUUCUAAUCUGAUGGUGAACACUCCAAAAUAAAUCAAGAGCCAUGACAAGUACUCAAGAUCCAACCAUGAAAUCACAUAC